Molecule: long non-coding RNA, 245 nt
Filed under: Nicotiana benthamiana
Lineage: Eukaryota; Viridiplantae; Streptophyta; Magnoliopsida; Solanales; Solanaceae
Description: long non-coding RNA (NBEN_LNC028131)
Source: RNAcentral
UAAACUAGCUUGGUCUCCUUCUUCCCCUACUCCUUGUAAUCCUGUUCCUGUUUCUUGUAAUGUUAGUAAUAAACAAGUUGUUUCUUGUAAUACUAGUAAUAAACAAGUUGUUUCCGUGCCUUCUUGUAAUGCUGAUCUUUUAUCUGACAACAAGACUGUUUCUAUGCAUUCUCAUGUUAAUAGUUCCACUUGUAAUAAUGAUUUUAAUUCUGAUAUGAAUUACACUUGGCACUUAAGACUUGNNN